This 1604-nucleotide long non-coding RNA is filed under the name Homo sapiens (human). RNAcentral's name for it is "non-protein coding lnc-CDY2A-3:1". The record is from RNAcentral. Lineage: Eukaryota; Metazoa; Chordata; Mammalia; Primates; Hominidae.
CUAGCUUCCCAAAAGUUUCGGGCUCAAAAUAUUGUUGACAAAAGACAAGACAAAAAUUGGAAGACAUAGUAUUUCAUUCAGUGGAGAGGCUAUGACAAACAGGGUGACACAUGGCAACCGGAACAGAACUUCGUAAACUGUAAGAAAUAUUAUGACUUUAACAGAAAAAAAAAAAAAAAAAAAGACGUGGACGAGAAUGAGCAGAAGUUUUUCAAACAAUACCAGAAAAGGAACGUUUGGAUCUACCUUCACCAACUUUUCUAAGUACGUUUCUAAAAUGCUAAUGACUCGCAAACACCACACAUCCAAACACAGCCAGAUGUAUGCUGCUGGCCACAACAUUAGGAUGAAUGCAGCUUUACCUUUCUUUGACCCAAAAAUAUGAAGCUAGGAAGUUAACCUCUCAAGACACUUGCACUUCAGAGCCCAUUUAACAGCAAGAACUCAGUGAGUGGCUUUCUGGAACUCUGGAAACUGGACCCUAUUGUGUCACAUCAGCUGGACAUGGUGGUGCACAAGAUGGCAGCAGAGAAGCAUAUCAGAGAUUUAUCAGAUUCCAGUGCAGAAGAGGCUGGAAGUAAGGAUAGGUCCCACAUACACCCACUAAUGUCUCUGGUGUCUGGCUCGAUUAACACUUCCAUGGUUACAGGCUCAGCUAACAAGGAAGGUACAUUGGCAUUAACGAAUUCAUUAACAGCCAAUGGGACAAAAAACAUUCAUAUAGCUGUUUGAAGAGGGAGAGAUGGGAAAAUAAAGAUUAUUGAUGAUUGAAAAAAACAGCCUUUUAUCAAAAGGAUGUACUUUACACUAAGGUUAACAGAAAAUGCCAGCAGAUUCAGAGACAUUGUGGUGAGGAAAGAGAGCUUCAUUACCCAAAAAUUACUAUCAACUAGAUUGACAGAGAAUACCUCACUAAAUACAGAGGGGAUGAAAGAAAUUGAGAAUGCCCUGAAUAGGGUUGCUGUGGAUGACAGGAAAUUUGUGCUCCUUGCUCAGUGCAGCCGGCAGUGUCCUUUGCUGUGGUCUUGAUUUUGUGUGCAUUUAAGAAAUGACAGGAAGAGAUCAAGCAUUGAAAUGGGGGACACCACAAAGACCUGGUACAUAGUUUUAUUCAGUUUAAGAAAUCUAUUUUUGCAUCAGGCAGUAGCAUGGUAAUUUGACUAGGUGCGUCCAUAUUGCCUCUUUGUGAUUUGCUUUGGGGCUAACAGAAAGGCUUGGCUUGAAACUUCUUUUACGACAUUUGGACAGAGUUCAGGUGGCUGUUCUAUCAUUACAUUUCCCAAGAUGCUGGGUGGAGCAUCAGCCAGUGAAAUGUGGUUUGGUGGGAGAAAGCUGACAGCACUGGAUGCAUGUGCCAAGGGCCUGGUCUCUUAAGUGUCUUGGACUGAAAAUUUCACACAAGAGGUUAUGAUCCAAAUUAAAGAGCUUUCCUCUUGUAAUCCAGUUGUUCUGGAGAAAGGUAAGGCCUUUGUUCGCUGUAAAAUUAAAAUGAUGUUGGAACAGGCCAAGGAGAGAGUGUGAAAUGCUGAAAAAAAGUCUGAGCCUCAGCGCAAGGGAUAGAAUCCAUGGUCAACUAUGUACAAAGAAAAAUUGAUGAGUUCUAA